UGGCGGCGUGCUUACACAUGCAAGUCGAGCGGAAAGGCCCUUCGGGGUACUCGAGCGGCGAACGGGUGAGUAACACGUGAGUAACCUGCCCCUGACUCUGGGAUAAGCCUGGGAAACCGGGUCUAAUACCGGAUAUGACACUCCUCCGCAUGGUGUGGGUGUGGAAAGUUUUUUCGGUUGGGGAUGGACUCGCGGCCUAUCAGCUUGUUGGUGGGGUGAUGGCCUACCAAGGCGACGACGGGUAGCCGGCCUGAGAGGGCGACCGGCCACACUGGGACUGAGACACGGCCCAGACUCCUACGGGAGGCAGCAGUGGGGAAUAUUGCGCAAUGGGCGGAAGCCUGACGCAGCGACGCCGCGUGGGGGAUGACGGCCUUCGGGUUGUAAACCUCUUUCAGCAGGGACGAAGUUGACGUGUACCUGUAGAAGAAGCGCCGGCUAACUACGUGCCAGCAGCCGCGGUAAUACGUAGGGCGCGAGCGUUGUCCGGAAUUAUUGGGCGUAAAGAGCUCGUAGGUGGCUUGUUGCGUCUGCCGUGAAAGCCCGUGGCUUAACUACGGGUCUGCGGUGGAUACGGGCAGGCUAGAGGCUGGUAGGGGCAAGCGGAAUUCCUGGUGUAGCGGUGAAAUGCGCAGAUAUCAGGAGGAACACCGGUGGCGAAGGCGGCUUGCUGGGCCAGUUCUGACGCUGAGGAGCGAAAGCUG
RNAcentral lists this ribosomal RNA (704 nucleotides) under Microbispora sp. VE33. Its description in RNAcentral is "bacterial SSU rRNA". It matches the Rfam family "Bacterial small subunit ribosomal RNA", at positions 37 to 762 of the family's 1533-position model. The record is from RNAcentral. Lineage: Bacteria; Bacillati; Actinomycetota; Actinomycetes; Streptosporangiales; Streptosporangiaceae.